RNAcentral lists this non-coding RNA (29 nucleotides) under Mus musculus (house mouse). Lineage: Eukaryota; Metazoa; Chordata; Mammalia; Rodentia; Muridae. The record is from RNAcentral.
UGGGAUUAAACUCAUGCAACAUCGUGCUC